ACUCCAGUGACUGCCUCUCAGAAAAGAACAGGGCAAUGUCCAUUCUCCUUUUAUUUUCUUUAAGCACCUGAUCAUUCUAAAAGCAUGUGUUCCUCCGUGUGUGUGAGUUGUGUACACGUGUGUGUGUGUUCCUUUCUUUUCUCGGACUCCAGGCUCAUGACUGCUUAUUUGCAUGGUGUUUUGGUGUCAAAGGAGUGUUGAAUGUGUUCUCCACACACCCAGCUUUAUUCCACUCUAGGAGUUUAACUUCUUCAGCAUUGUUAUGAGGUCCCCGGUGACCUCAGUUUCUCCUCUCCGCGUCAUCCAGGACUUCACCUGAAGCUUGAGCUACACGUAAGACUUCAUCUACCUUGCACAGGGCAAUGGAGAGAGGAUGGCAUACCAGAAUCACCAGAUGACAGACAUCGGGGUGCUGUCGGACCCGGGAAUCAGAACCUCUGCAGAUAGAUAUUUUGGAAGGCGCUCCCUAGAUUGGCACCUCUGGUUAGAACCCUGCCCAGGGACUGGACAAGUUGGGCCCAUGGCUCAUAUCUGGCCAGUGUUCAUUGCUUUGUUGAAUCACACUUAAUCCUUUGGUUUUGGUAGAUUCCUGCAAGUAGACUGACAGCUGCAUGUUUGCAGGAAAGUUAAAUAUUUUGACAGCGCAGAAGACUGCUGCAUCUGGAGGGUUCUGGGUCCAGCUAUAACCAGACUUGCCUGUCCUAAACAAAUGGAUUGACUGCUUCCGGCAUCCUCACUUUACUUCUGCAUGGUGACCAACAUCCGGAGCUUAAUUACCUGACAGCCAGGAGAUAACAAAAAUGUCAUGCCUGAGUCCCUGAUAGCAACCCCAGAGGAGCUCCAGGUUUGAGGCAGCGCUGGCAGGACGUGGUCUAUCUGCCAUCUGAAGCCCUUCAUUGCCCGCCUGGCUGUGAAUCUCACCUCCUCUGUAGUGGAAAACAGGCUGAACAGAACUGGCAGGCAGGUAAGGGACAGCAAACCUUGCAGGGAGGGCCUAGUGCUGAAGCUAAGCCAGCCCUUUGAGUUCAAGCUCAAAGACAUGUGAUGCCAGCUUUGCAGGGGAGCUAAGAUUCUUCCGAGAAAAAGCAGAAUGAGAGAGAGAUAUGCAGCUGCAGUGGAGGACUUGGAAGAGAACAACGCCAGGUCCUGGAUCCUGCAAGAAUCUCCUCUGGAAAAGCAGGGGAGAGAAAAGCAAGGAAGGAAGCAGGGUCACCGCAAGUGUGGGAUUUGUCUUAUUAAAAUCUGAUACUGUGUGGCAGUUUGCUUCACUCUUGGUAUAAAAUGUCUGAGCUCCAUGUUAAAGUAAAUGUAAGUAAUAUAAAUCUGCCUUUCCUGAGGUGAAAAUAGAUCCAUAUUAUUUAAAAUAUGAACUGAGAUAGAUGACAGUUACAAACAUUAUACUUGUUCUUAUUAUAAUUCUUACUAAGCUCAAGGAAUAAAAACUGGGAUGAUGAAAAAGAAGUUCUGAAUGUAAAAAUUGGUGUUUUGGAUAAAAUACAAACCAACCCAGAAAUGAUGAAAAAAAUCUGCCCUGCCUGACUUGCUUUGUUGCUUUGCUCAUGGAGAGUUCAGCAAUCGUGUCAUUUAUUCAUUCAUUCACUCACUCACUCACUGACUCAUUCAUUCAGCAGCUAUCCAACCGGAGCUCGCUGUGAGGCAGACACUGUGCUGGGGACACACAAAUGCAUCAGAUGUGGAGUCUGCCCUCAAUGAGCUUAUAAUCUAAUAAGAAAGAGAAGGCAAGUCCACAUGUAACUGUAGUACGAGGCAGGAUGUAAUAACUGCAGAAAGGGACAUGAAAGAAAAUGCCGUGAGGGAUUGCACCUCACUAGGGGGAGGUUUUAUUUGAACUAUCUUCUAAUGGAUGGGCAGAAUUUGGACAGUGGAAGUGGUGGGG
RNAcentral lists this long non-coding RNA (1897 nucleotides) under Homo sapiens (human). RNAcentral describes it as "HSALNT0339862". The record is from RNAcentral. Lineage: Eukaryota; Metazoa; Chordata; Mammalia; Primates; Hominidae.